This 450-nucleotide long non-coding RNA is filed under the name Olea europaea subsp. europaea. The record is from RNAcentral. Lineage: Eukaryota; Viridiplantae; Streptophyta; Magnoliopsida; Lamiales; Oleaceae.
AAAAAAUCCGAACAUUAUUACGAUUUACACAAAUCAAAAUAACAUUAAAAAUUGAAUUUUUAAUGCAAAAUUUUUCCCGAUUAAAAUCGUAGAACAACGUAGAGGAAAUAUACCGUUCUAUCCUAAAUAUUACAUAAUAUAUUAAAUGAAACUAGAAGAGUAAAUCUAAGUUUCCUACACGUCCCCAGCUAGAAUGAUCCAUUUUGUCCAAAACCUAAUCAAUUCCCUUACCUUUUUUGGUGAUUCUAGUACCGAAUAAGGGAAGAAAAUUGUAUUCUUUUUUCACUCCGCGGCAUUAAUAGCAGAAAAUUUCUCCAUCACAAGAUGCUUGCAAUCCAAGUUUUAGCCAUUUUCUUUCACAUUAGUCAAGUCGGCGGAGCGAAGAGGCGGUGGUUGGCGGAGCUGGAGGAUUGGAGGAAGGGUUGAAUUGAAAUGAAAAUUGAAUUUGAA